This 312-nucleotide ribosomal RNA is filed under the name Triticum aestivum (bread wheat). RNAcentral's name for it is "partial small subunit ribosomal RNA". Lineage: Eukaryota; Viridiplantae; Streptophyta; Magnoliopsida; Poales; Poaceae. The record is from RNAcentral.
AUGUUACCCAUCUCGCUUGACCUGGCUGCCCACAAUUACUACCAUUGGCGCCAUCUCUUCCACAUCCACCUUGGUCGCUGCGGUCUACGCCACCAUAUUCAUCCAUCCUCUGUGCCGCAGCCUGCCAAUCCUCGUUGGGUGAAGGACGAUCUCACGAUCAUCCAAUGGAUUUAUACUCGGAUCUCCACCGAGCUUUUCAAUCUUGUCUCCAACGACGAUGCCACUGCAGCCGAUCUUUGGGCCGCCCUUCAACAGUUGUUUCAAGACAACUCCGACGCCCGCAUCAACGCUCUCCACACCGAGCUCCGCACC